This 395-nucleotide ribosomal RNA is filed under the name uncultured bacterium. RNAcentral's name for it is "partial 16S ribosomal RNA". It matches the Rfam family "Bacterial small subunit ribosomal RNA", at positions 523 to 918 of the family's 1533-position model. The record is from RNAcentral.
AUACGUAGGGUGAGAGCGUUAAUCGGAAUUACUGGGCGUAAAGCGUGCGCAGGCGGUUUUUUAAGACAGAGGUGAAAUCCCCGGGCUCAACCUGGGAACUGCCUUUGUGACUGCAAGGCUAGAGUACGGCAGAGGGGGAUGGAAUUCCGCGUGUAGCAGUGGGAUGCGUAGAUAUGCGGAGGAACACCGAUGGCGAAGGCAAUCCCCUGGGCCUGUACUGACGCUCAUGCACGAAAGCGUGGGGAGCAAACAGGAUUAGAUACCCUGGUAGUCCACGCCCUAAACGAUGUCAACUGGUUGUUGGGUCUUCAUUGACUCAGUAACGAAGCUAACGCGUGAAGUUGACCGCCUGGGGAGUACGGCCGCAAGGUUGAAACUCAAAUGAAUUGGCGGGG